This 537-nucleotide ribosomal RNA is filed under the name Electra scuticifera. Its description in RNAcentral is "partial 12S ribosomal RNA". Lineage: Eukaryota; Metazoa; Bryozoa; Gymnolaemata; Cheilostomatida; Electridae. The record is from RNAcentral.
CGUUAGGCAAAGAGGUUCUAGAAAUGAUAAGGGAGAUAAAAAGGAAAGUUAGGAGUAGAAUCUCUAAUUUCAUUUUACCCCACCUCUCUGAUCUUAAACCCAAGAAGUCCAAAAUUGGAACCAGGAUUAGGUAACCUGCUACCAAUGGAUGUAAACAAUAUUUGCCUGGGGCUUACGAGGUUUAACUUAAGACCCAAAGAGCUUUGGCGGUUCUAUUCACAGCCAGGGGAGCAUGGCCUGUAACCGACAACCCCCGACAGUCUUACCUUCCCUAUCACAAGCUUAUAUACCCCCGUGCAAUUCACAAUUUAAUUUUAAAGAAGUGACAUCCCAACCCGGGACUGCUUUUUAUACAGGUCGAGGUGUAGCCAAUGGGAAGGGUUGAGCUUUGCUACUUUAAUUACAUUAAAUGAAGGCUGAAUACGAAAGUUCUCUCCGAAAUAGUACUUGGGAGUAAAGUGUCCUUAGAAAGUAUGCUUGAAACAUAAGAAUAGAGCGCACAAAUCGCCCGUCAAUCCCUCCUCUUAGGAGGGAUAA